UUGAACGUAGUGUGAAAGUCGGAUGUCGAAUGCUCGGAAACGAUGUCUUAACAUUCAAUCUGAACAUUCGUUCCCAAUUAAUCAUCUUUUUUUUUUUUGCUGCCAUUUCACUUGAUUUAGUUUUUAGAUCUUAUAAGACAUGUGAAGACAAAAUAUGAAGAUGCAUUUAAAGACCUCAAAGUUUGUGGCGGUUUUGUUGAAAAGAGAUACCACACAUGUACCAGGAGUAGCCUAUGUCCGUCUCAGAGGAGAUAGCAGAGCUGCUGCUGAAAAUACACACCAUGGUGUCUGGUAACAAUCCACCCUGCUUUACUGGACUCUUAUGUGUUGGAAAUAAAGAGCAAAAUAAGAACUUGGAGCCGGAAUCUGUGGGACACAACUUGUUGAAGUCUUCAGUGGUUAAGAAAAAACAAACUGGAGAGAUGAGGUGCAGAAGAGCGCAGCUGAAAGAGAGGGACCAGCUAAUGAACAAAGGGCACAGUCAGGAGAGAGUCAUAAUGACAAUGCAGCCAUGAAGACAGUAGAAACCUCAGCCAAGAGUUCAGGACAAAAUGGUGAAAAGAUAAGCGGGAUGUUUACCGGGACAGGGAAGCGGACGGGCACAUGCAGAUCGGAUUUCUUAUCGGAACAAGUGGUGGCCCCGCACCUGCUGGCCAUGUAACCCCUGCCGGGUCCCCUGUGGAAUGCAAGAAAUGGAAUAUGGCAAGGCGGUUUCCCCAUUUUUCCCAUCCCACGCCCUUCUCUUUCUGUUUAUCUUCAUGCGAGCCUGUAUUUAUGAGCGCUCUGCGAAGGCAAACACGAUACAAACACAGCCUAAGAAAUUCCCCCAACCCUCCCUUCUUCUUUUCGUCUUCCUCUCUCCAUUUUCGGCUGUAUCUACAUCCUUGCUUAGUGUCACAUUCGGGGGGUCAAAGCAAAGUGCUAUAGCCUCAGGCUAGCUCACAGGCUUGUGUAUCAUUGUGUUUGCUGAUCACUUUCACUGCCUAUCAUAAACCACCAGCUCUGCAUCCUUGUUUAUUCUUUUUUAUCAUAAAUAAGAAAACUCUCAGUGGGACUGGUACGGAAGGCUGGGUGUGGAAAUAAAAUGUAAACACCAA
This is a non-coding RNA of Poecilia reticulata (guppy), 1097 nucleotides long. The record is from RefSeq and is a predicted model, not a curated record. Lineage: Eukaryota; Metazoa; Chordata; Actinopteri; Cyprinodontiformes; Poeciliidae.